CCUACGGGAGGCAGCAGUGGGGAAUUUUGGACAAUGGGCGAAAGCCUGAUCCAGCCAUUCCGCGUGAGUGAAGAAGGCCUUCGGGUUGUAAAGCUCUUUCGCAAGGGAAGAAAACUUAGUCUCUAACAUAGACUGAGGUUGACGGUACCUUGAUAAGAAGCACCGGCUAACUACGUGCCAGCAGCCGCGGUAAUACGUAGGGUGCGAGCGUUAAUCGGAAUUACUGGGCGUAAAGCGUGCGCAGGCGGUUUUUGUAAGUCAGAUGUGAAAUCCCCGAGCUCAACUUGGGAACUGCGUUUGAAACUACAAGACUAGAAUAUGUCAGAGGGGGGUAGAAUUCCACGUGUAGCAGUGAAAUGCGUAGAGAUGUGGAGGAAUACCAAUGGCGAAGGCAGCCCCCUGGGAUAAUAUUGACGCUCAUGCACGAAAGCGUGGGGAGCAAACAGGAUUAGAUACCCUGGUAGUCCACGCCCUAAACGAUGUCUACUAGUUGUUGGUGGAGUAAAAUCCAUGAGUAACGCAGCUAACGCGUGAAGUAGACCGCCUGGGGAGUACGGGUCGCAAGNUUAAAACUUNAAAUUGAAUUGACCGG
Molecule: ribosomal RNA, 592 nt
Filed under: uncultured bacterium
Lineage: Bacteria
Description: bacterial SSU rRNA
Rfam family: Bacterial small subunit ribosomal RNA
Source: RNAcentral